UACAGAGGUUGCAAGCGUUGUUCGGAAUUACUGGGCGUAAAGGGCGCGUAGGCGGUCUUGCAAGUCCCGUGUGAAAUCCCUCGGCUCAACUGAGGAACUGCACGGGAAACUGUUUGGCUUGAGUUCGGGAGAGGGAAGCGGAAUUCCGGGUGUAGCGGUGAAAUGCGUAGAUAUCCGGAGGAACACCGGUGGCGAAGGCGGCUUCCUGGACCGACACUGACGCUGAGGCGCGAAAGCUAGGGGAGCAAACGGG
RNAcentral lists this ribosomal RNA (253 nucleotides) under uncultured bacterium. RNAcentral's name for it is "partial 16S ribosomal RNA". It matches the Rfam family "Bacterial small subunit ribosomal RNA", at positions 524 to 776 of the family's 1533-position model. The record is from RNAcentral.